RNAcentral lists this ribosomal RNA (231 nucleotides) under Planctomycetota bacterium. RNAcentral's name for it is "Planctomycetes bacterium (anaerobic digester metagenome) partial 23S ribosomal RNA". It matches the Rfam family "Bacterial large subunit ribosomal RNA", at positions 1 to 218 of the family's 2925-position model. Lineage: Bacteria; Pseudomonadati; Planctomycetota. The record is from RNAcentral.
AUGUGGCCAAGCUAACAAGGGUGUACGGUGGAUGUCUAGGCGUAAUGAGGCGAUGAAGGACGCGGUAGGCUGCGAUAAGCUCGGAGGAGCCGUCAAACAGGCUUUGAUCCCGAGAUCUCCGAAUGGGGAAACCCGGCGUCACUGGGCAACCAGAUGGCGUCACGUGCGGCUGAAUGCAUAGGCCGUCACGGGCGAACGCGGGGAACUGAAACAUCUCAGUACCCGCAGGAA